AUUGAACGCUGGCGGCAUGCCUUACACAUGCAAGUCGAACGGCAGCGGACCUUCGGGUGCCGGCGAGUGGCGAACGGGUGAGUAAUAUAUCGGAACGUACCUUUCAGUGGGGGAUAACGUAGCGAAAGUUACGCUAAUACCGCAUAUUCUGUGAGCAGGAAAGCAGGGGAUCGCAAGACCUUGCGCUGAUUGAGCGGCCGAUAUCAGAUUAGCUAGUUGGUGAGGUAAAGGCUCACCAAGGCGACGAUCUGUAGCGGGUCUGAGAGGAUGAUCCGCCACACUGGAACUGAGACACGGUCCAGACUCCUACGGGAGGCAGCAGUGGGGAAUAUUGGACAAUGGGGGCAACCCUGAUCCAGCCAUGCCGCGUGUGUGAAGAAGGCCUUC
Molecule: ribosomal RNA, 387 nt
Filed under: uncultured bacterium
Lineage: Bacteria
Description: bacterial SSU rRNA
Rfam family: Bacterial small subunit ribosomal RNA
Source: RNAcentral